This is a long non-coding RNA of Daphnia magna, 690 nucleotides long. RefSeq lists it as uncharacterized. NCBI's taxonomy places the organism in Eukaryota, Metazoa, Arthropoda, Branchiopoda, Diplostraca, Daphniidae. The transcript is spliced from 8 exons. The record is from RefSeq and is a predicted model, not a curated record.
UAACCAUUCUUUAGAAGGGCUUCUGCUUCGAAAAUCUAUUUAAAUAGCUGUCAUCACUUUCAUUAAGUCACUUUCGCUGAGCUGUUCCUUGGGAUGUGAGCUCUCAUACGAUUACAUCAUGCUGCACAGGAAUUCAGACCACGUGGUAGCGAAUAUGGGAAUGUUGAAGUUGGAAACAAGGAUACCUCAUCUAACCUGGAAAAGCUAAACUACCUCUACUCUUGCAGCAACAUUCUGAGUAAAGGUUGUUGCUGUAUUCACAAUUGUUGGGAGAAAAAGGGAUAAGAGCUGGCUUUACCUUCCAAUUGUUGUGAGCUGGGGCUUUUUACUCAGGUUGUAUUAGGACCCCAUUGAUCUCCAAACGCAAGCUCUUGGAGUCCUCUUCACAUUUUGCUAUGCUUGAUUUUAUGGGUGCAAAACAUGUUGCUCGUUGGUCAUAUGCUCCGCAUGACACUCAGUGGGAGCGUCUCGGUAUUGCGGAAAAUGUCAUCUCUAGUUAUGAAAGGUGUAUUAAUACCGUCGCACCUGUACUGUGUGACAAGUGCACGUUCCGAUUGUAGUCGUUGGAAGAAAUUGGCUGUUACAGUUGUUGCGGGAAAGGAAAUGUCGUGACCGGUCGUUGCAGUAACGUUGAAAUUGAAAAUUAAGUUACGCCAAAAAUUGACUGGAAUAAAUGAAUAAUUAACGAAG